This 492-nucleotide ribosomal RNA is filed under the name uncultured bacterium. RNAcentral's name for it is "partial 16S ribosomal RNA". It matches the Rfam family "Bacterial small subunit ribosomal RNA", at positions 29 to 507 of the family's 1533-position model. The record is from RNAcentral.
AGUGAACGCUGGCGGUAGGCCUAACACAUGCAAGUCGAACGGCAGCACAGUAAGAGCUUGCUCUUACGGGUGGCGAGUGGCGGACGGGUGAGGAAUACAUCGGAAUCUACUUUUUCGUGGGGGAUAACGUAGGGAAACUUACGCUAAUACCGCAUACGACCUACGGGUGAAAUCAGGGGAUCUUCGGACCUUGCGCGAUUGAAUUAGCCGAUGUCGGAUUAGCUAGUUGGCGGGGUAAAGGCCCACCAAGGCAACGAUCCGUAGCUGGUCUGAGAGGAUGAUCAGCCACACUGGAACUGAGACACGGUCCAGACUCCUACGGGAGGCAGCAGUGGGGAAUAUUGGACAAUGGGCGCAAGCCUGAUCCAGCCAUACCGCGUGGGUGAAGAAGGCCUUCGGGUUGUAAAGCCCUUUUGUUGGGAAAGAAAAGCAGCAGGUUAAUACCCCGCUGUUCUGACGGUACCCAAAGAAUAAGCACCGGCUAACUUCGUG